Pelobates cultripes (western spadefoot toad) is the source of this 556-nucleotide non-coding RNA. The record is from the annotation of a GenBank genome assembly. Lineage: Eukaryota; Metazoa; Chordata; Amphibia; Anura; Pelobatidae.
CAGCAAAAUAAGUCCUACAAUGUUCCAGCAUUCACUGCAGUUCCUAACACUACAGUGCACCAAAAGGCAAAGUGCAUUCUAAAGACACAGCUAGCAAGGAAGUAAUGGCAAAAAUAGGCAGCUGUUCAUAGAAUCACAGCAGUUUUCACUUUGGUUUUAGAUAUUACACAACAGUCUAGCCAUGCCAAUUCAUAAAUGAAUAUGCACAGACAGGCUGAAAAGUGAGCUGACACUCAGCCAAACAGCUGCUCAGCUGACACUCAUCACAUGGCUGCUCAGGGCAAUACUUCCUCUAACACAAUCAGCAUGGGAGUAGCUGCUUGGAACUCUCAUAGUAUUAAAAACAAUUUAACAUUGAAUAGAAGAAUGUUGCCAUGGGACUUCAGACAGAGCUAUUUUAAUGUGAUUUAGCAGUUACAGGGUUUACAGUGUCCCUUUAAUCUAAAGUAAAUUUUUGGCUGUGCCUGAAAAAUGUAAUAGGGUGAGUAGUGUAGCUCAACAAAUAAUCGGGCUCUGAAAGGCGAGGGGAGAGAGAAACAAAACACUUACAUUGGAG